GAUGAACGCUGGCGGCGUGCCUAAUACAUGCAAGUCGAGCGAACGGACGAGAAGCUUGCUUCUCUGAUGUUAGCGGCGGACGGGUGAGUAACACGUGGAUAACCUACCUAUAAGACUGGGAUAACUUCGGGAAACCGGAGCUAAUACCGGAUAAUAUUUUGAACCGCAUGGUUCAAAAGUGAAAGACGGUCUUGCUGUCACUUAUAGAUGGAUCCGCGCUGCAUUAGCUAGUUGGUAAGGUAACGGCUUACCAAGGCAACGAUGCAUAGCCGACCUGAGAGGGGGAUCGGCCACACUGGAACUGAGACACGUUCCAGACUCCGACGGGAGGCAGCAGUAGGGAAUCUUCCGCAAUGGGCGAAAGCCUGACGGAGCAACGCCGCGUGAGUGAUGAAGGUCUUCGGAUCGUAAAACUCUGUUAUUAGGGAAGAACAUAUGUGUAAGUAACUGUGCACAUCUUGACGGUACCUAAUCAGAAAGCCACGGCUAACUACGUG
RNAcentral lists this ribosomal RNA (497 nucleotides) under uncultured bacterium. Its description in RNAcentral is "partial 16S ribosomal RNA". It matches the Rfam family "Bacterial small subunit ribosomal RNA", at positions 28 to 507 of the family's 1533-position model. The record is from RNAcentral.